CAAAUUCCCAAAGUGCCUUCCCAACCCGCUGACACUGCAGUAAAGGGAUGAGGUGCAGAGAGAGCCACGGGGUGCAGUGAAGGGAUGAGGUGCAGAGAGAGCCACGGGGUGCAGUAAAGGGAUGAGGUACAGAGAGAGCCACAGGGUGCAGUGAAGGGAUGAGGUGCAGAGAGAGCCACGGGGUGCAGUGAAGGGAUGAGGUACAGAGAGAGCCACGGGGUGCAGUGAAGGGAUGAGGUGCAGAGAGAGCCACGGGGUGCAGUGAAGGGAUGAGGUACAGAGAGAGCCACGGGGUGCAGUGAAGGGAUGAGGUGCAGAGAGAGCCACGGGGUGCAGUGAAGGGAUGAGGUGCAGAGAGAGCCACGGGGUGCAGUAAAGGGAUGAGGUGCAGAGAGAGCCACGGGG
Molecule: long non-coding RNA, 405 nt
Organism: Oncorhynchus tshawytscha (Chinook salmon)
Lineage: Eukaryota; Metazoa; Chordata; Actinopteri; Salmoniformes; Salmonidae
Source: Ensembl